CCCCUAGAUGUUCUGGGCCGCACGCGCGCUACACUGAACAGUUCAACAAGUCUUAACCUUGGCCGAUAGGUCUGGGUAAUCUUUGAACGCUGUUCGUGAUUGGGAUAGACCUUUGCAAUUAUGGGUCUUCAACGAGGAAUUCCUAGUAAACGCAAGUCAUCAGCUUGCAUUGAUUACGUCCCUGCCCUUUGUACACACCGCCCGUCGCACCUACCGAUUGAAUGGUCCGGUGAAAUCUCGGGACGGCGGCUUGGUCGCUUGCGUCCGACUGCUGAAACUUGAUUAAACCAUNUNAUUUAGNGGAAGGUAAANUCGUANCA
Molecule: ribosomal RNA, 320 nt
Filed under: uncultured eukaryote
Lineage: Eukaryota
Description: partial 18S ribosomal RNA
Rfam family: Eukaryotic small subunit ribosomal RNA
Source: RNAcentral